GGGGCAGUAGCUCAGAUGUUAGAGCGUUCGCUUAGUAUAUGAGAGGUUAUGGGAUCGAUACCCCACUUCUGCA
Zostera marina is the source of this 73-nucleotide non-coding RNA. The record is from the annotation of a GenBank genome assembly. NCBI's taxonomy places the organism in Eukaryota, Viridiplantae, Streptophyta, Magnoliopsida, Alismatales, Zosteraceae.